AGUGAACGCUGGCGGUAGGCCUAACACAUGCAAGUCGAACGGCAGCACAGUAAGAGCUUGCUCUUACGGGUGGCGAGUGGCGGACGGGUGAGGAAUACAUCGGAAUCUACUUUUUCGUGGGGGAUAACGUAGGGAAACUUACGCUAAUACCGCAUACGACCUACGGGUGAAAGCAGGGGAUCUUCGGACCUUGCGCGAUUGAAUGAGCCGAUGUCGGAUUAGCUAGUUGGCGGGGUAAAGGCCCACCAAGGCGACGAUCCGUAGCUGGUCUGAGAGGAUGAUCAGCCACACUGGAACUGAGACACGGUCCAGACUCCUACGGGAGGCAGCAGUGGGGAAUAUUGGACAAUGGGCACAAGCCUGAUCCAGCCAUACCGCGUGGGUGAAGAAGGCCUUCGGGUUGUAAAGCCCUUUUGUUGGGAAAGAAAAGCAGCAGGUUAAUACCCCGCUGUUCUGACGGUACCCAGAGAAUAAGCACCGGCUAACUUCGUG
This 492-nucleotide ribosomal RNA is filed under the name uncultured bacterium. RNAcentral's name for it is "partial 16S ribosomal RNA". It matches the Rfam family "Bacterial small subunit ribosomal RNA", at positions 29 to 507 of the family's 1533-position model. The record is from RNAcentral.